Hylaeus volcanicus is the source of this 601-nucleotide long non-coding RNA. RefSeq lists it as uncharacterized. The record is from RefSeq and is a predicted model, not a curated record. The transcript has 2 exons. NCBI's taxonomy places the organism in Eukaryota, Metazoa, Arthropoda, Insecta, Hymenoptera, Colletidae.
UCAGAAGUAACGCAGACAGCGUGGCAGAAAGUCUUGUGGCAAGAAAUUCGAAUGUUAAAGAUAAAUCGAAAAAUGAAAAAAGAAAUCCACUAUUUGUAACGCACAAUUUAUCGUAUUGCAAUCAGUUUCACUCCUUAGAAUUUUCAAAAGUACACACAAUGCAUGGCAGAAAGUUUUGUUGCAAGAAAUUUAAAUAUUGAGAAAAUGAACAGAGAUGCACUAUUGGUAACGCACAAUUUAUUGUAUUACAAUAAUAUAGAAAAAGAGAGUAAAGUGCAAGGUGACACUGUAUAACAUAAUAUCAAAUUCGGUGGUUUCCAACUGUGUGCAGCUAAAAUGCUGUGUUCAACAGUGCAAACGUUCAGACCCUAAUGACAACUCAUGUAAACUGACUGCUCCGCACUUUGGCGGUGAAAUGAAGAAGCCAAAUAGUGUAUCAACCACAAACGGAGACUGUUUAGACAUUUGCCUAGAUGUUGCUCACGCCUGGCAACAUGACCAUAUAUGGUCAUGUACGAUUGCCAACAAAGACUAUAAAAACAAUAACACCUUGUAAAAGACAGUUCUGAGCACAUUUUGAAUAAAGUCAUUGUUGAGAGUA